This 605-nucleotide unclassified non-coding RNA is filed under the name Hevea brasiliensis (rubber tree). Lineage: Eukaryota; Viridiplantae; Streptophyta; Magnoliopsida; Malpighiales; Euphorbiaceae. The record is from RNAcentral.
CGAAACCCUCGAUCCCGAUGGCAGCUAGGGCGGCGCUCGCGGCAGCUUCCUCCCUCCGCUCAACCCUGACCUCACCGGCGGCCCGAUUCACCCCUCGGCGCGGGCUCGCCGGCGGUGGAGAUCACCAUGGACCCCCGAGAGUGAAUUUUUGGGAAGAUCCUAUGAGUCCAUCAAAAUGGAAGGAAGAACAUUUCGUGCUUGUGAGUUUGGCUGGUUGGGGUUUACUUAUUUAUGGAGGAUUCAAGGCUUUCUCCGGAGGGAAGAAGGAAGAUAACAAGGAGGUACCUGUGGAAGCCAAACACUAGAGAGGUAGGGUCGCUUACCUGGAAAUAAAGCAGUUGUGGAGUCCCUAGUAACCUCUAAAAAGGUUACCUUUUUUUAUUGUGGUUGAUAAAGUUCCGAGUAGAAUGUGUGAGGCUAAGUUUUUUGAAGUUUCGUUUAUAAUAUCAGCUCAGCAGCUGUAUAUGACAUGACUCAACUAUUUUUGUUGGAGCCAACCACAAUAAGUUGAGAUGCUAUAAGAAACUCUGAUACUUAUCGAGGUACUCUUGUGUUUGGUUCAUUGGAUGAUGUUGUUUUAUUUUCGAAGGAUUUCUUAAUUCGUG